Non-coding RNA from Tinamus guttatus (white-throated tinamou), 264 nucleotides. NCBI's taxonomy places the organism in Eukaryota, Metazoa, Chordata, Aves, Tinamiformes, Tinamidae. The record is from RefSeq and is a predicted model, not a curated record.
GGGAUGGAAAGGGCUUCUUUGUUCUGUCUUCUCCAGAACGUUACAAGUCUAAGAGCUCAGGACAAGAGCAGCAGAAAUACAUGCAACAUGGUGACUGGAACCCUAAGGACCUUGCAAUAUGAAUAAUUCUCUGGAGAACACCAUUUCCUUUGAAGAAUACAUCCGUGUGAAAGCGCGAACAAUCCCCCAGCACAGGAUGAAGGAGUUCCUGGACUCCCUUGCUUCCAAGGGGCCUGAAGCUCUGCAGGAGUUUCAGCAGACAGC